CUGCAGCUUAUUAAGCCGACUAGACAGGUUGUUUGUACUUGUGUGGUGUGCAAAGGCUGCAGACAGCAAGUCUUUGGUUUGUGUAUGAGCCCAGCUGUGCAGUGCUGGGCCCUUGAAGGGACCACUGAGACAUAA
Molecule: small nucleolar RNA, 135 nt
Organism: Carassius auratus (goldfish)
Lineage: Eukaryota; Metazoa; Chordata; Actinopteri; Cypriniformes; Cyprinidae
Gene: SNORA70
Rfam family: Small nucleolar RNA SNORA70
About the family: snoRNA U70 seems to be exclusive to mammals and is a member of the H/ACA class of snoRNA which contain H (ANANNA) and ACA box motifs. H/ACA box snoRNAs are involved in the conversion of uridines to pseudouridines (5-ribosyluracil) a constituent of structural RNAs (transfer, ribosomal, small nuclear, and small nucleolar).
Source: Ensembl